Long non-coding RNA from Mesocricetus auratus (golden hamster), 520 nucleotides. RefSeq lists it as uncharacterized. The transcript is spliced from 3 exons. Lineage: Eukaryota; Metazoa; Chordata; Mammalia; Rodentia; Cricetidae. The record is from RefSeq and is a predicted model, not a curated record.
UAAAGGGAGGAAGAGAUGCAGAGUCACAACACAGAGAACCCUAGGACAGUGAAGCAGCCUGGCAUAAUGCCAUGACUGUGGGUACACGUCAUCAUACCACUGCAUAGACUAUCCAACUCCAAGAAACAACUUUAGUAUAAACUACAGACCCUGGGACUACAACAUGCUGAGGUACUACGAUUUCUGGAUGCAGAGCAAUUGGGCAGAAGGCUGUCAGCGCCUCACCUUGCAUCAUGUACAUUUGGAAGAACAGGUACUAAUGGGAUGGGUAUCACACCAAUUGGAAGGCCAGCUGCAGGAGAUACUCUCCAGACAUAUUGUCCGCAAAAGUCAACACAAUCUGGCAAAGUCAGCAACAUGAGUUCCCUGAAUUCUGCAGCAUGUGACUUCAUGGAUGGUGAAUCUUGCCAUAUUACAGGUAACACGAGCUCUGAAACCCUUCUUCUCUCAUUAGCCAGCAGUGCCAAGGCGAAACUGAAAUCACUUCACCUUAACAGUAUGAUAUGUAACCUCUGCAGUA